AAAACUUGGUUGGCUUGUUUGCUUUGUUUGUAUUGUUGUUAAUACAAGCUUUGUAAAUAAGAUUGACAUCUUUAAACAAUAUAUAUAGUCAUAGUUUAACCUGUAUAUAUAAUAUUUGAAUUUAAUUGGGUGUUAUCCUAAUGAUUGUACAAUAUAAAAACAAAGCAAGCAAGCUAACUUAAGUCUUGCUCUACAUGCUUUAGGAAAUUAGCUGUAA
RNAcentral lists this long non-coding RNA (217 nucleotides) under Mytilus galloprovincialis (Mediterranean mussel). Lineage: Eukaryota; Metazoa; Mollusca; Bivalvia; Mytilida; Mytilidae. The record is from RNAcentral.